Molecule: ribosomal RNA, 463 nt
Filed under: Streptococcus sanguinis
Lineage: Bacteria; Bacillati; Bacillota; Bacilli; Lactobacillales; Streptococcaceae
Description: bacterial SSU rRNA
Rfam family: Bacterial small subunit ribosomal RNA
Source: RNAcentral
GACGAACGCUGGCGGCGUGCCUAUACAUGCAAGUAGAACGCUGAAGAGAGGAGCUUGCUCUUCUUGGAUGAGUUGCGAACGGGUGAGUAACGCGUAGGUAACCUGCCUGGUAGCGGGGGAUAACUAUUGGAAACGAUAGCUAAUACCGCAUGACAUUGAUUAUCGCAUGAUAAUUGAUUGAAAGAUGCAAUUGCAUCACUACCAGAUGGACCUGCGUUGUAUUAGCUAGUUGGUGAGGUAACGGCUCACCAAGGCGACGAUACAUAGCCGACCUGAGAGGGUGAUCGGCCACACUGGGACUGAGACACGGCCCAGACUCCUACGGGAGGCAGCAGUAGGGAAUCUUCGGCAAUGGGGGGAACCCUGACCGAGCAACGCCGCGUGAGUGAAGAAGGUUUUCGGAUCGUAAAGCUCUGUUGUAAGAGAAGAACGGGUGUGAGAGUGGAAAGUUCACACUGUGACG